CGGAAAGUAGCGCAGUUGGUAGCGCACUAGCUUCGGGAGUUAGGGGUCGCGGGUUCAAAUCCCGCCUUUCCGA
RNAcentral lists this transfer RNA (73 nucleotides) under Spirochaetaceae bacterium. RNAcentral describes it as "tRNA-Pro". It matches the Rfam family "tRNA". From Rfam's summary of the family: Transfer RNA (tRNA) molecules are approximately 80 nucleotides in length. Their secondary structure includes four short double-helical elements and three loops (D, anti-codon, and T loops). Further hydrogen bonds mediate the characteristic L-shaped molecular structure. tRNAs have two regions of fundamental functional importance: the anti-codon, which is responsible for specific mRNA codon recognition, and the 3' end, to which the tRNAs corresponding amino acid is attached (by aminoacyl-tRNA synthetases). tRNAs cope with the degeneracy of the genetic code in two manners: having more than one tRNA (with a specific anti-codon) for a particular amino acid; and 'wobble' base-pairing, i.e. permitting non-standard base-pairing at the 3rd anti-codon position. The record is from RNAcentral. Lineage: Bacteria; Pseudomonadati; Spirochaetota; Spirochaetia; Spirochaetales; Spirochaetaceae.